Molecule: ribosomal RNA, 406 nt
Filed under: uncultured bacterium
Lineage: Bacteria
Description: partial 16S ribosomal RNA
Rfam family: Bacterial small subunit ribosomal RNA
Source: RNAcentral
AUUGAACGCUGGCGGCAGGCCUAACACAUGCAAGUCGAACGAGUGGCGGACGGGUGAGUAAUGUCUGGGAAACUGCACGAUGGAGGGGGAUAACUACUGGAAACGGUAGCUAAUACCGCAUACCAUCGGAUGUGCCCCGAUGUGCUUAGCUUGUAGGUGAGGUAACGGCUCACCUAGGCGACGAUCCCUAGCUGGUCUGAGAGGAUGACCAGCCACACUGGAAGUGAGACACGGUCGAGACGACUACGGGAGGCAGCAGCGGGUAAUAUUGCACAAUGGGCGCAAGCAUGAUGCAGCCAUGCCGCGUGUAUGAAGAAGGCCUUCGGGUUGUAAAGUACUUUCAGCGGGGAGGCGUUACCCGCAGAAGAAGCACCGGCUAACUCCGUGCCAGCAGCGGCGGUAAUAC